Molecule: ribosomal RNA, 522 nt
Filed under: uncultured beta proteobacterium
Lineage: Bacteria; Pseudomonadati; Pseudomonadota; Betaproteobacteria
Description: bacterial SSU rRNA
Rfam family: Bacterial small subunit ribosomal RNA
Source: RNAcentral
GAGUUUGAUCCUGGCUCAGAUUGAACGCUGGCGGCAUGCCUUACACAUGCAAGUCGAACGGUAACAGGUCUUUCGGGAUGCUGACGAGUGGCGAACGGGUGAGUAAUACAUCGGAACGUGCCUAGUAGUGGGGGAUAACUACUCGAAAGAGUGGCUAAUACCGCAUGAGAUCUAUGGAUGAAAGCAGGGGACCUUCGGGCCUUGUGCUACUAGAGCGGCCGAUGGCAGAUUAGGUAGUUGGUGGGAUAAAAGCUUACCAAGCCUACGAUCUGUAGCUGGUCUGAGAGGACGAUCAGCCACACUGGGACUGAGACACGGCCCAGACUCCUACGGGAGGCAGCAGUGGGGAAUUUUGGACAAUGGGCGCAAGCCUGAUCCAGCAAUGCCGCGUGCAGGAUGAAGGCCUUCGGGUUGUAAACUGCUUUUGUACGGAACGAAAAGUCUUGGGUUAAUACCCUGGGAUCAUGACGGUACCGUAAGAAUAAGCACCGGCUAACUACGUGCCAGCAGCCGCGGUAAUAC